This 253-nucleotide ribosomal RNA is filed under the name uncultured bacterium. RNAcentral describes it as "partial 16S ribosomal RNA". It matches the Rfam family "Bacterial small subunit ribosomal RNA", at positions 524 to 776 of the family's 1533-position model. The record is from RNAcentral.
UACGAAGGGGGCUAGCGUUGCUCGGAAUCACUGGGCGUAAAGCGCACGUAGGCGGAUUGUUAAGUCAGGGGUGAAAUCCUGGAGCUCAACUCCAGAACUGCCUUUGAUACUGGCGAUCUUGAGUCCGGGAGAGGUGAGUGGAACUGCGAGUGUAGAGGUGAAAUUCGUAGAUAUUCGCAAGAACCCCAGUGGCGAAGGCGGCUCACUGGCCCGGUACUGACGCUGAGGUGCGAAAGCGUGGGGAGCAAACAGG